UUCAGUCGCCAGAAACAUGCUUCAUUCAAGCCACACGUUAUAAAACUGAGUUCAAGGAGACAAGUCGAAAAUUACAACUUCGUACAAUUGUCUUAUGGUCAAUUUAAACAGAGAAAUGUUUAAAGAAUUCCACAGCUGCCAAAUUAUACUCCAAAAUGAACCUGCUAAUCGAAGACAUUGGAAUAUCUUCUUCUUUAAGCUCCUUAUUACCUUUAUUGGCUAGUACUGGAUACGUCAGCAGGCGAGCCGGCGUAAAGUAUCGACUGUACGCAUUACAAUUAAAAUAUUUAGUGUUAAAGUAACAAUACUGAUAUGCAUAUUCUUUAACAUACUUUUAAAGCUUCAAGGCGUAAUAAAAUAUCCGUAAUUUCUUAUAGAAAUAUGCACAUUUUAUUACAAUAUCAAGAUGUAUCAUUGAUUUAUGAACCAAUACAGUUAGUUACAUAACGCCCCAACAAAGAACAGUGUUACUAUCCAUAUAACUGACUUUCUACACGGAAUUCGUUUGUUUGUAAUGGGUUAUUUUAACACUCUUACCUUUCCGUUAAAAUACUGUAAACAUACACCAUUUUACUUCUGGUAUUACUAAAUCUUCCACCAGAUAGCGGUAUAGACAUUACCAGUCUCGCCUUUGAGUCGAGGCUUUUGCGAUAGUCGUGGUUGUCUGUGUGGUUGUAUGAUUUUACAUAGCGAAAUUCUCGUCUCUAAAGCUUCUAGUGAGGCUUCUACUUCCCUUCCAAGUUCUGUGGUAUGGGCCGGACAGGUAGGAAGAACCUGUAGUGCUUAUUCUGCAAGUUUGCUCUGUGACGAAGUAUUUGUGCAGCAAACAUAUAUUGGAAAGUGAUUACAUAACACCUGAAAGGAGGUCUUGGUGGCAAAUACCUGGCUGCAGUUGGGUUUUGUCAAGGAGAUUGAUAAUCUCUUUGAUGGUUUCAGUGGUGCAACACAUGUUGGCCCAGGAAAGACACUGAAUUGCUUGCUUAGUGAUGACAGCCAUCAUAUAGGUUACUGGAACAAAGCAGUAUGUGGUUAAGUAGAUGGAUCUUGUUCAGGGAUAAUAAAGCCUCCUUUUAUCACCCCCUUCCUUCA
Molecule: long non-coding RNA, 1089 nt
Organism: Cryptotermes secundus
Lineage: Eukaryota; Metazoa; Arthropoda; Insecta; Blattodea; Kalotermitidae
Exons: 3
Source: RefSeq, a predicted model, not a curated record